UACGUAGGGUGCAAGCGUUGUCCGGAAUUAUUGGGCGUAAAGAGCUCGUAGGCGGUUUGUCGCGUCGACUGUGAAAACCCGAGGCUUAACCUCGGGCCUGCAGUCGAUACGGGCAGACUAGAGUUCGGUAGGGGAGACUGGAAUUCCUGGUGUAGCGGUGAAAUGCGCAGAUAUCAGGAGGAACACCAAUGGCGAAGGCAGCUCACUGGGACUGUACUGACGCUGAGACGCGAAAGCGUGGGGAGCAAACAGG
RNAcentral lists this ribosomal RNA (253 nucleotides) under uncultured bacterium. Its description in RNAcentral is "partial 16S ribosomal RNA". It matches the Rfam family "Bacterial small subunit ribosomal RNA", at positions 524 to 776 of the family's 1533-position model. The record is from RNAcentral.